GAUUCAUUAAUGAGGACACUUCCGUAAUAAUUCUUUAUACCUUUCCCAUGCCUCAUAUAAGGACUCAUCAUUUAUUUGUUGGAAAGUAGUGAUCUCGUUCCUCAACUU
Molecule: non-coding RNA, 108 nt
Organism: Gossypium hirsutum (cotton)
Lineage: Eukaryota; Viridiplantae; Streptophyta; Magnoliopsida; Malvales; Malvaceae
Source: Rfam